AAAGGAAUAGACGGGGGCCCGCACAAGCGGAGGAGCAUGUGGUUUAAUUCGAUGAUACGCGAGGAACCUUACCUGGACUUGAACGUAUUAGGCAUAAUUUGGAAACAGAUUAGUUAGCAAUAACCUGAUACGAGGUGCUGCAUGGUUGUCGUCAGCUCGUGCCGUGAGGUGUCAGGUUAAGUCCUAUAACGAGCGCAACCCCUACACAUAGUUACCAACACGUUAAGGUGGGGACUCUAUGUGGACUGCCGGCGCAAGCUGAGAGGAAGGUGGGGAUGACGUCAAAUCAGCACGGCCCUUACGUCCAGGGCGACACACGUGCUACAAUGGCAGGUACAGAGGGCAGCUACACAGCGAUGUGAUGCGAAUCUCGAAAGCCUGUCUCAGUUCGGAUUGGAGUCUGCAACCCGACUCCAUGAAGUUGGAUUCGCUAGUAAUCGCAGAUCAGCCAUGCUGCGGUGAAUACGUUCCCGGGCCUUGUACACACCGCCCGU
RNAcentral lists this ribosomal RNA (494 nucleotides) under uncultured bacterium. RNAcentral's name for it is "bacterial SSU rRNA". It matches the Rfam family "Bacterial small subunit ribosomal RNA", at positions 903 to 1397 of the family's 1533-position model. The record is from RNAcentral.